This 600-nucleotide ribosomal RNA is filed under the name uncultured bacterium. Its description in RNAcentral is "bacterial SSU rRNA". It matches the Rfam family "Bacterial small subunit ribosomal RNA", at positions 28 to 669 of the family's 1533-position model. The record is from RNAcentral.
GAUGAACGCUGGCGGUAUGCUUAACACAUGCAAGUCGAACGAGAGUUUUUAACUCUAGUGGCGAACGGGUGCGUAAUACGUGAGAAUCUGCCCUUAGGAGAAGAAUAACUACUGGAAACGGUAGCUAAGUCUUCAUAUGCCGAGAGGUGAAAUAGUUUCAACUGCCUAAGGAUGAGCUCACGCCUGAUUAGCUUGUUGGUGAGGUAACGGCUUACCAAGGCCACGAUCAGUAGCUGGUUUGAGGGAACGAUCAGCCACACUGGGACUGAGACACGGCCCAGACUCCUCCGGGAGGCAGCAGUGAGGAAUUUUCCGCAAUGGGCGAAAGCCUGACGGAGCAAUACCGCGUGAGGGAUGAAGGAUUUUGGUCUGUAAACCUCUUUUCUCAAGAAAGAAGUUCUGACGGUACUUGAGGAAUAAGCAUCGGCUAACUCCGUGCCAGCAGCCGCGGUAAUACGGGGGAUGCAAGCGUUAUCCGGAAUCAUUGGGCGUAAAGCGCCUGUAGGUUGUUUAGUAAGUCUGUUGUUAAAGACCAGGGCUUAACCCUGGGAAAGCAAUGGAAACUACUAGACUUGAGUAUGGCAGGGGUAGAGGGAAUUU